CAAUCGGCGCCGAGUGACGAAUUUCCUUAAAUGAAGAAGCUUAUGUGUGGAGUCGACUUCGAUGAAGUUUGGAUGUAAGGUCGAUACGCUUGGGCGUGGAGUCGAUACGCUUAGACAUGAACUCGACUCGCCUGGCGAACGUGCGUCGAAAUCAACGCAGCAGCGUCUCUCCCCCUUUCUGAACGGCAAAGCGUUGCGGAGUUAGCCGGAGUGGGCCACGGCUUUUGGGUCUUUGAGUUUUGCUCCCUCCCAAGGCUUUUACCGCGUCGCUGUUGUCGGCGACAAACUCGAGUGUUGCCGGACAGGUCGUGCGACAUUGGCAACGGGUUCUUUCUGCAGCAGCCAAUGGCAGAAGCUAACGGCCCGCUUCCACACAUGUGCAAUAACACCGUUCCUUUUCGCACCGCUCUCUCUCCCUCUCGAAGGAUUGGUGCCCCACUUUUUUAAUCUUGUCUAGCCAUCUCCUUUCAUUAUUAUUUUUAAACUUUAUUGUUUGUAGUGUUCGUAACGAUGCUGUGUGCUUCGCUCUUUGGCAUAUUUCACUGCUGCUCUGUUGCAGUUUAUGCGGUGAUCAGAGGAGUAAUUGUCGUUCACACUUACGGAACGCGUGGAGAAGUUUGUUCACCUGUACCUAAAUAACCCAGUCCAACACCUGUUCCUUUUUUUUUCACUUUUUGUUUUUGUUUUAAAUGCACGUAUAGAGACGCGAUCAUACCUCGAGAACAUAAUACUGCAUUUUAACUUCGUUUUAUAUUAGUGAGCCCUCAAUUCCAAGAGGCGUCGUCACUCUCUCCCAUUCUCUUUCCCUUUCUCUCCUGCAGCAGUAAAGAGUGUGUGAAUUGUUGAGUUUGCUGCGCUUUUUUUUAUUAUUGUUCAACCGGGGACCACUGGCAGAGAUUGUCGUCUCGGCGUUCUUUUUUUAUUUUGCCCGCGACCACUGCACAUAUAGGGGUUGUACGUUCGUAAAGCGCAAUAACACAACCUCGAGAAGUCGCAAGAGGAGCAGUUCAAUUCAUCCGCGAGGUCAACUAGUAUCGCGCCUUUCUGGCUAGUUGUGGAGCUUCAUCGUUUUCAUCCGACAGGGGUGCAACCGUCCUCGAUUUAAAAUUUCUCAUUCGAUAGCGAUGGGAGUAAAUGAAUGGCAGUGCUUUAAAAUUGGCUGUUGUGGUGUAAUCGAAGCGUACGUUGGCGUUUUGACAUCAUAACAUUGUUCCCCCAACCGGGCGCUCUCCGCAGAGAUUGUACUAGUUGAAGACAUCAGGUAUCUAGUCACGUAGCAGCAAUCCUGAAUUCGUUCAACGUAUUGUUAUCUUGGCUGAGCGAUAACCAUUUGGCUAGAGACGGAACGCACGGCACUACAUCGGCAGAUUAUCUGGCGGCCAAAAUGUCGGCGCGAGAAACGAAAAAAGACACACCCACGCAAUUCUACGCCCGUGGACAUUUAUUUCCUCCAGUUGCAACGUCGCUCGUUCAGCGCGAUGCCGACAAGUGUGUCAUUUACUGCCACGUUGAAAUUCAGUUGAGCUGAUCAUCGACAGAUGUCGCGUCGCGCUGCGCGCACGUCAUCUCACCGCGCAUUCGGGCACGCAUGCGCCGUCUGUCCGUAGCUGUGGGAACGCAAACAGGCCUCCGAGAUAGCGGUCUCUCCCAAUCACGGAGGCGACGGUUCGUUCGAUGGCCUCUCCCAUCCCAGGUACCGUAAAUCGUUCACUAUGACUUUGUUUUCGCUUGUUUUUGUCUAUUUAAGAAAACGCGACAAGUUACGCUGCCGAGUUGUCUUCAUUGUUCACGCGUCUCAUCACUGUAACGCCACGAUCUUAUCCAACGGUCCUAAUAGCUGGCGUGCCAAUACAGCGCGUUUCGGAACAGGUUAGCGCUUGUGACACGCAUGCAUGCAUCGUCGUUCAUUAAUUCUUGAGCAGAGGAUGUUCAAGAUGCGCAUAGUUUUCUGUACAAAAGAAAUGUCGAGUCACCGUGCAUACAGACAUGCGCGCGAAUCAGCACUUGUGACAUUGUAAUCAAGAGGGUAUAUAUAUAUCGUAACUUGUACCAGACAAUUCACGCCCAGUCUAAUCACCCCGAAGCUUUCAUGACUGCUCCUUAACGUUAGUUUCUUUUUCAUUGUAUGCGUUCUUUUCAGGGCGUUACAACCGUUGGAAGAUACAGCAGUCUGCCUUGAGGGGCUUUCAGAAAUACCUGGCUUCAUUUUUGUCAAAAAUUCGCUGGUGAUUUAUUUGCACAAGUGUGUGAUAACUCUAUUCGCACCAUGUCUCGGUAUCAAACGAUUUGGAAAAGACGUCAUUCUCGAUUCCUAAAUUAGAAAGAACCUUCAUACGCUUCUAAAUUGUACUCAAUGACUUCAUGACUACUUGUCUGAUCGGGGAUUUGCGGACCGAGCACCCGUGAGAGGCGUCGUUAGGCCUAGCUUUUCUUAGGCGUAACUAGGCCUAACGCAAUAUUUUUUGGGGUGCGUUUACCCAUCCAGCAGGCUGCUUGCCAACGAUUGUAGUCGCCUUGCGCGGGGUCAUCUAAAAGCUUUUUUUUUUUUCGCUUUGAUGAUUUUCGGUAACAUGCGAGUAAAAACCCAGAGUUGAGAAUCCAUGCUCCCUAUGUACAUACAGCUCUGCCCUCGCCCUGUCCUGUCGCGUUGUGACGUCAUUUCAAGUUCAAUUGUCGAGGCUUGUGUCUUCUUAUAUUUGUAUUUGUUCUUUGUUUUUUUCAUUUCUUUGCCGCCUCCUGCUUCUGAAAGGAUGUGUCAAUCAAGCCUCUGUAUUGAUUUUUUUUUCAUCGUAAUUCAUAUGUCACGUGACUGUUGUGCCAUUUUUGAGAGGAGAGAGGUCGCCUCGCGACAAGUCUGUUGUGACGGUCAGAGACGACUACGUUUUAUCCGCUGUGAAUGAAUGUGUGUGAAGUGAGAAGCGAUAGCAAGAAAAAAACAGAAAAAAAAGUUUUUACUCUCGUGGUCUCUGUCUAGAGUUGCACUACGCUUAAGAAGGUAAAGACUAUGUUUUCCACGAGUGCGUGUGAAAUAUUGAGAGAGAGAGAGAGAGAGAAAGCGAUAGAGGAGAUAUAUUAUAUAUAUAAAUAUAUAUUUUAGCCCUGUACUAUAAGCAUUGAGAUAUAUAGAUAUUUGUAAAGCCCACCAAAACCCCCAAUUUUCUUCUUGAAGGUUGGUUGUUUUAAUCUUAUCGUGCGUAAUGAUCCGAACUGCUUUCGUCAUGCUUCAGGCUCUGAAGGUCACUGACUGAAGACAGCAAUUUAUUCGAAUGUAAGGCUCCGCUUAAUGAAAUAUUCCACGCCUCUCGCAUUUAAAGUUCAUGUUACUACACGAAGCAAUAAAUGACCAAUGCGGCCUCAAAAAUAAGAAAACAAUAUUCCCUUGGUUGGAGGCGGAGUCACCCGACAGUGUGGACAUGAAUGGAAAACUAAAUGGAUCUUUACAAAAUCUGACCACACAAGCUCUACUUUCUAGCGAUUCACUUCAUUUUCGAUCCUCUUCUUAUCAUGCGUCGUGUUGAGGCGCUGAUCCCAGAGAUAACGGCGAAGAUAGCGGGUUAAUUCCGGAGAUAAUGACAGUGCGUUGACGCUGCAGUGAAUAAAAAGACGGCGCAAAUAAUGGGAAAAGGGAAAGAAAAAAACAUAGUUGGAUUAUUUGUAAUACGACAGUUGGUUCCGCACUCGCAACAAAUUUCGUGCAGUUGAGAGGUGGAAGGGUUGAUUCUGAUAGCCGGCUCAUUAUCGACAGGUUCCGUCGGCCAACGACAAAGAAUUCUUACAUCGUGAAAUCUUUCUGAAAUGGCCUACUGAGUCCACACUGAAAAAAACAAACAAAACAAAAAACUAGUGCGCGUUCCUAUUCGGCAUUCGCUUGUCUCUUGGUCGGACCCAUGCUGUCGCCUAGAUGUCCACAGCAUUGGACGGCCUUCACGGCGCUGGCCGGGCCCCUGCGAGCUUUAUAAAGACGUUGUUUUACUCGCCGACGUGGUCUGAUGUCCGCAUCUGUUGGCGUUUUGGGGGCCAACGUUAAUUACCGCAUUGUUGUGUGGGAUUGCAGGCUGAAUACGUUAAAAUUUCAAACUUGAGCUUUCUUCAAUCGGUGGUGCUCUAGCCUGAUAGCCUGACGAAUAGCGGCGAGGUUUCGUGAAGUGGCGUUUCUUUGCUCCACCCCCCCCCCCCCCCUUUUCUUUUUUCAUGUAUCAUCUUAAUUGGUCGAAUUUAUGUAAAAAAAUUGUUCUUCAUACCUGUUGAUUUUGUCGUCCUGUCGAGUCCCAGUGACUUGUUCAACCAAUGGAGGCGCGAUCUCAAAUGCUAUCUUGCCUUUAUUGUUUGCGUUCCUCUCUUUCACCCCCCCCCCUCCCUCCACCUUACCGCUUUCUUCUUUUUAUUUUUUUUCGCAUGCGUGAUGGCGUUGUGGUUUUUCGAAGGCAAAUAGAAAAACAAAUGGCAUAGUUGACGUCUACAGGCUCCAGGAUUUUGUUUCUCUAGCGUUUUAAUGACUCCAGCAGUGGCUGUCGUUUGCUAUUCAUCUCCGGAGCAAUUAACUGUGUAAAGCCCGACGUACUGCAUAAUCUGCGUCCAGUUUCAUGCCUCAAAAUGCUGAUUUAAGAGUUGGAAGCUUAACGCAAAGCCUAUGGGUGCUUUCAAUGCAGAUUUUAAUACUUCAACAAAUUAUUAAUUGCUUGAUUACUACACUAAUUAAGUUCCAACUGAAGUAACAUUUCAUCGUUACAUUUUUUUUGUACAAAUGUACAAUGUAUCAUGGCCAGAAAUGAAGUUGUUACAAUGUUCCUUGAUGUGCAAGUGUGCUUGGGCAUUAAGGGUUAACAAGGAGGAAUUCACAGAGGGGCAACAGUUACGUAGCGAGAAGCAAUACAAUGCAUAAUCUGUCAUGCAGACUAUGGUCUCUAUUUGCCACGUUCUUGUGGAAGCAUAUAUAUAUAUGGAGAGAGAGAAUGCAGAGUUUUAUGUAUCCUAAGGGAUAUAAAGACCUGCCAUCCUUUAACCGUCCCUAAAAAAGAAACGAAAGAUUAACUCUUAUAAUUGUUCUAAAGUUAGUAGGUGGCCUAAAGAGUCUCGCACCCCUACUCACUUUUGGAUGUAAAGAUGCGAAGUAUAGACCGAUUAGCACGCUUAUUCACUUUUAAGGGUGUCAAUUAUUUUACAGUGUACCUGUCUAAUGUAGGUUCCUUUGGAGCGAGCUUGUUUAAUCACCGUGUCGGCUCCGAGAAUCCUUACCAAAAGCAUGGCUACCAGACGUGGUUCUUGGCACAGCUCUCAGAUCUGAUCGGCUGUCUUAUCUCCGGUUAGCUUUAUCCAGCUUCCUCCGCUAUAUCCCCACAUGCCGCGUAAUUCUAAAGUUUGCCUCGCCGAGGUCAUUAGACGGUUUUGCUUUUCAGCGCUUCACUCAUGUUCUCGGAUCCGUGUGUCGCUGGACCCCAGUGAGGACACGUUAUGCAGGAGUGGACGUUUCAUCCAUUACCUUCGAUAAAUCACAACGCCCGCGUUACGGUCUUUUGUUUUAUGUGUAUAAUUAGUAACGACGCAGUACAACAGUUCGCGUUUGUCUUUUCUGGUUUCGAGUGCAAAAUAAGCCCCGAGUACUGUUCAUCAGUUUCAUCUUGCCUGCCAACCAGUGUACGUCUUUCGCGCUGCUGUCCUGUAGUUCGUGUUAUAUCGCUCGUUAUGCUUCCCCCCGCCUUCUGUCUUACCUCUCCCGACUUUUAUUGUGCCCGUGUUGCGUGCCGAUUUGUUUCCUGUGUUUUCUUUGUAGAGAAACCAGACGCUUGAAGGCAGUUCUGCCAUUUUUCGAGCGCACAAUCCGGUGAAAGAAAAAAAAAAAAAGCUAGACAUAUAAUGGAUAGAGUGCACCUUUGCUUUUUUUUCUUCUGCUCGUUGGUCGUUGUGACUCGCGGUGGAAAAGAAAAAGGAAAAAUAUGACGAACUGUCGUGUGUGUGGAUACCGUGAGUGUGUGUAGAGGAAUGACGACGGAGUGUGUAAGCAACGGAACCCACAUCGUCGUGGCCAACUGCGUUGCUUUCAAGAGCUUUUUUUUUUUUUUUUUAAACGCGACGUUGUCCCCCUUCAGCGCGCGUCGUCUGCUGCUCCGUAGCAGACGUGGACGCUCUUCCCGCGCCGACGCAGACGACGACGUUGUUUCUGCCGCGAACUGCGUAGUGUCUAUCCGCGGCUGUGAGUGGCUCACGUUCAAAUCACGUGACCGGCCCGAUGGCGGCAAGAUGGUCGCCGUAUUUGUGAAUGUCGUUCCUGGACCCCGCGGUCUCCCCCUUUCCCAGUGCGCUUUCUCGUUUACCUAUUGUCGUGUUUUUGUUUAAAAGCUGACCCUUUCCACUGUGGCCUCCUCACCCUUUUUUUUUAAGUCAUCAGGGGGCAUUAUACGUGCGUAAACGUUUUGUGCCGCUGAAUUUAGCUUUUGUUCUGAGCGUCUUAAUCUCGCCUUUCUUCCUCUUUUUUUUUCUCUUCCGUUACGCAUCGCUCAUUGCCUGUACUAUGACAGCUGUGUUUUUUUCUGUGUGUACAUUGAAAGCGAGAAACUUUCUGUGUUGUGAGCAUUUAUUUGCUUGUUGUUCCCCUAGCUGGCAAAGAGCAUGUUCUUAUUACAUCACUCUCCUCUAUCAUUACGUGGAAGUUUAUCUGAAUAGUUUGCAUCCCCUCUUUCUCUCGCGGAGUAGCGAUUACGCGACGGAUUUAUUAAAUAAAAGAAAAAUGGCAUCCGACA
Dermacentor andersoni is the source of this 6737-nucleotide long non-coding RNA. RefSeq lists it as uncharacterized. The record is from RefSeq and is a predicted model, not a curated record. NCBI's taxonomy places the organism in Eukaryota, Metazoa, Arthropoda, Arachnida, Ixodida, Ixodidae.